AUUGUUUGAUACUGCAAUGGACAUAACAAGUCUAACAGUAGCUGCUUUCACAACAGGGAUAAAGGUAUCUUCAUAAUCUAUACCAUAUCUUUGUUUAAACCCCUUUGCAACUAAUCUAGCCUUGUAUCUGUCUAUUUCUCCAUUUUCCUUUUUUUUUAUUCUAAAAACCCAUUUGCAGUCAAUUAAGUUUCUCCCCAUUGCUGGAGGAACUAGAUGCCAUGUUCUAUUUUUCAUGAGGGCAUUAUAUUCCUCAUUCAUUGCAUUUUUCCAAUUUCUAUUUUCCAAUGCUUCUACCAAAGUAUUUGGUUCUCCUAUGACAGCAAGACCAGCAAAACGACGCCCUUUGUCAUACCUGACCGUACCGUCCGUACGUACUUUUGGUUUCAAAAUACCAUGCUGAGAUCUUGUUCUCGGUGGCGAGGCAGAAAUUAUCACAGAAGCCGGCUGCACAGAGGAUCCGGAGCCCUGCACAGUGGAUCCAGACCCUGACCCAGCCGCACCAGAUCCAAUGCGGAUACUGUUGCCAUCGCCAGCGUCCGCACCUGGGCCAGCAGUGACAGAUCCAAGGCGGAUGCUGUCGCCCACCUGCGACGCGCCUGGUUGGCCUGCGUCAUCAUGCGGAGGAGACCACCCCACUUGGCGUGUGGAGAGCAGCGCCUCACUGCUCGUGGGUCCACCUGACCCUGAGUGUGUGACGGCGCCUGUGCCUACGGGCCCGCGAGAGGACACACGUCGCGGUGACGCUGGAUCACCCGCUCCCGAGGCUGAUGCGGUGCGAAUCCCGCGGUCUGGAGCGGCAGGCGAGGGAGGAUCUUCCCCGGGAUCGCCGCUGGCUGGAUCCGGCGCAACACCUGAAUCUGCAUCGUGCUCCACACCUGUCUGCUGCAUAAAAUCAUAGCCAAAAAAGAAUUGCCACCAAAAUUUACAGCAGGAUUUUUAUGAAGAUUAACCGAAGGAUCAACUGUCUGUUCGCCCCCAUGAUCAAGAGGUUUGGAUGGAGCAGUUUCUGCAAGAAGAAGGACUUCGGAACGAAGAGGAACGCCGGCAUUUGGAUUUAGCGAGGCAAACGGAAAAAUAGUUUCGUCAAAGAUGACAUCGCGAGAAAUAUAGACGCGUCCUUCUUUGACAUCAAGGCACUUGAACCCUUUGUGGAGAUUGCUAUAGCCAAGGAAGACACAUUGUUUUGAAAGGAACUCUAGCUUCUUAGCAUGAAAGGGCCGGAGAUUUGGCCAGCACGCACAGCCAAAGGUGCGUAGGGCAUGGUAGUUUGGUUUUUCAUGGAACAAUUUUUCCAAAGGAGUGUCAAGAUUAAUCACCUUGCUAGGAGUACGAUUGAUAAGAUAGGUGGCAGCUAGAAAAGCCUCGUCCCAAAAUUUUAAGGGCAUAUAAGCAUGAGCAAAAAGUGAGAGACCCACGUCCACAAUAUGCCUAUGUUUUCUCUCGGCAGACCCAUUUUGUUGAUGGGCAUGUGGGCAUGAAACGUGAUGUGUGAUCCCUACUUGACGAAAGAAGGAGUUGAUGCGCUCAUACUCACCGCCCCAAUCUGUUUGCACGGUGAUAAUCUUGCGAUCAAAAAGUCAUUCAACUAGUGCUUGAAACUCAUGAAACACUUUGAAAACUUCUGAUCUAUGUUUGAGGAUAUAUAUCCACGUGAAUUUGCUGAAGUCAUCGAUGAAACUCACAUAAUAAUUCUUCUUAUUAAUUGAAUCUCAGGCAGGCCCCCAUACAUCAGAGAAAACUAGCUCUAAAGGAGAUUUUGAAAUACUACUAGAAUUUGGGUAGGGAAGUUGAUGGCUCUUGCCUUGUUGGCAAGCAUCACACACUCCCUCUUUAUUCAACUCUUUGCUAGAAAAGGAAAUUUGAUUGUGUCUAAGAACAUGUUAAACUAUUGCCGAAGAUGGAUGCCCUAAACGAUCGUGCCACCUUGAUGAAGAUAUCUUGGUGGCGCCAAGUGCAUGUCUGCCCGAGCUUAUUGGAGCUGAUGAUAGGGGAUAGAGCCCGUUUCUACAUCUGCCGCAGAGGAGGGUUUUCCUCGUUGCCUUGUCCUUGACAAAGAAAAAAUGAGGAUGAGUUUCAAGAAACACAUGAUUGUCAUUGGCUAGACGAUGAGCAGAGAUCAAGUUUUUAGUGGCUUUGGGCACAUGCAGAAUAUUUUUGAGAUGAAGAUUACGAGUAGGGGUACGAACAUAUGCAUGACCUAUAUGGGAAAUCUUCAUACCUACGCCGUUUGGCAUGUUUACUUGAUCGUGUCCAUUGUACUUGUCACGAAAGGUGAGCUUGUCGAGCUCACUGGUAAUGUGGUCUGUUGCACCUGAGUCCACAUACCAGUUUGUGUCCACGCCGUAGGAGGAGCCGGUGCCGUAGGAGGAGUUGGUGUUGACGGCUGCCGUGGUUUUCUCCUUGUUGAAGGAGACAUCAAAACGACGAUAGCACUCCAUGGCCGUGUGAUUUGGCUUGGAGCAGAUUUGGCAGAAGACUUCUGGCAGAUUGUUGCGGCCUCCUCCAUUGCCGCGGCCCCCGUCGCGACCACGCCCGCCGCCUCCAUUGCCACGGCCGCCUCCAUUGUGGCCACCAUUGCCACUGCGGCCACCAUCGCGGUUGGAUCCACCGCGUCCGCCACGAGACACGGCAUUGGCAGAGGAGUGGCCCUACGCCUUCAAACAUAGCCAGCCUGCUUUCAAAGCUGAUCAGCUGCGAGUAAAGCUCGCUCACCUUGAUUUGCUGGGUGCGGGCGCAGAUCGUGGAGACGAAAGACACGUAGUCGUAGUCGAGUCCCGCCAAGAUGUAGGACACCAUGUCGUCGUCGGUGAGCGGCUUGCCCACCGAUGCCAUCUCAUCACCGAGCGCUUUCAUGCACCCGAUGUAUUCGGACAUCGUCGAGUUGCCCUUCUUGGUGGUGGAGAGGGCGAUUCUGGUGUUGACGACGUGCGCCUGGGUUUGGGAGAUGAAGAUCUCCCUGAUGGCGGCUCAUGCUUCGGCCGCCGUGUCACAGUGUGCGACCUGAACCAUAACAGGAGCUGAGAUAGAGUUGAAGAUGAAGCUCAGCACCUGAGAAUCUCGAGCCUUGUCGGUGUCGUAUGCAGGGUUGGGCUCGUCCGUAGGCUUGCCGUCCUUGUCGUGGAGCUUCUGCUCCGGCUGCUCCCGAUCUGGGUCGAGAUAGGAGACGAGUUGUGCCCCACGGAUGGCUGCCAUGGCUUGCGCGCGCCAUACCAGGAAGUUGGAGCGAUGGAGUCGGUCGGCUAUGGGGAUGAGGGCAGGCGCGGCGACAGCGGAGCUUGAGGAGGCCAUGGCUACUAGAGAUGUGCUUUUAGAGGAGAUAGGCUCCGAAUACCAUGAAAGAUGGCUUGAAGUCUAUGCUUAGCAGGGACGCGUUCCGUGUUAUAUAUAGCCAUAGGGCUAGGGUUUACAGAUCCAGUAGUUGGUUAGGCUUGAUCCCCAAGUUAGCUAUUCUGCAGAUAAGGAUCGAAGCUUUAAACCUAACUACUGGUUUACAUAUUGAUACACACGCAACACCAAGAGAAUAUACGGUUUUAUAUACCCAACCGUAUAUACAUACAAUAUAUUCUAACAUCUCUUGCAUCUCCUGCCGGCGGAAUCGAUUCAGAUGUGUAGUGUAGUGCGUACGUGCUUGUCCUUCGGAAGAAUCCAUCCAGCAGCCAGGUUUCUCGAGGAUCUCAAUCAACCAGCUCGACCUUUGUGUAUUUGUGUCGCUCUUCGUUCGCGCGUUCCUUGAUGAGACCUUUGAUGUGAGCCGGGGCCUGCGCUAACAUUUCAUUCUUCCCCGGCAACGUACUAAGCUUCAGCCUGCACGGCUCAUGGUAUUCUCUGUUGACAUAGAGACGCUUCUUGGCAGGCCGGACAUGAAUGACGGUAACGAGGAGGAACUGUUUUGUAUGAAGGCGUUGGGCCUCAUCGAGCUGAUGAACGAGUAGACGACAGGGCGAGUCAAGCUCAGUGGUCAAGCUGGAGAUUGACGCCAAGCUAGUGUGUGGCCUUGAACCAGGAGCCCGCGGUGUCACGACGAUAUGCUUGAAAUCGAUUUCGACUACGGCUCACCUCAGGCCACAUCACACAAGAACGCGGCAAGCAGCGGUGUUUAGUUCCUCCUGAAGAUUGAUAUAAACAGAUAGAUAAACAGUGAACUGCCUAUAAUGCCCUUAAUUAAUGAAUAUACUACCAAAAAUCUGUUGUAGUAUUGGCUCAUCUGGAUCCUUCAACCACAUAAAUGGACGGCCCAAAUAGACUAGAUGCACCGUAAAAGGUCUCAAAAAGUACUCUCUCUGUCUGGUGUCAAAAACGUCUUACAUUAUGGAAUGGAGGGAAUAGCAUACUAGAAAAAUAGGAAAACACAACAACAUUGCACAUGUAACAACAACUGUAAUAUGAGACAAGAACAUAUCACGACGGAGGUAUUGUUCGUUCGUAGUAGGCGUAGCUGCUGCUGGAGCACAUUGUUGAUGACGGUGUUGGUGUCGAACUGGUGCGGACGGCGUUGAAGACGAUGAGUAGGCCCGUCUGACUUGGCCGAAUACGACCCAUGGUGACGAACUUAAGCAGUUGUGCAGAGCACUUUCCAAAAACCUAAUUCGUCCUCUCCUGAUACAGGAUCGUAAAGACGAACGGUUCCGGAUACCUUCUCUCCCGUGCGCCUAUGCACGUCAGCAUUUAGGAUGGAGUGACUACGACAGCAGCGCAAGUUGCAUGAUGAGGCAAAACCCUAGGUAUUUCGAUGUGUCUUUGGCCGUGGCCGGUAAGCAGUAUAUGUACGAGGACCAUAGACAGUACCGUGUCGCGAUCACGAUCUCAAACUGAUUUGGUUUCCAAGUCGUGAACUUACCAGACAAGUAAAUGAUCAACUUGUCUUCCAAGACAUUAAAAUAUAAAAACGACAAAAGAAAGUCGUGCUCUUGCAAGGCCACUGACCAGAUUUUGGCAGAGCAUCACGCGCAUGUCGCACAUCCGCCCUAUCCUGAGCUCGGCAAGGCGAGGCGAGCACACACGUGUAGUCUUCUCUUUUUCUCCUCAACACAUCACUUAGUGUGGUGGAGAAAAUCCACUAUAUAAAGAGGUCAAUAUUUCUAACAACCCCCACUACCAUUUAGAGAUUUGCCUUUUCUCACUACUUGUUUAAUAUACCAGUGUUACAGCAGAAAUUGUUAAGUUGAACUUCUGCGUAGAGCUUUAAGCUACAUCUAUCUACAACUUCACAAUGAACUAUGUCUUGAAUUGCAAGUUUAGUGUGAAUUGAUUUCUACUCAAAGUCUUAACUAGUACCUGGCUGCCAGUAGGCUACCCCACGGUUUGGAGCAUGUACGACAUACUCCUUGGUCUCUUCGCGAGCUUACUAGAGAUCACUCAAGUCUCAUAGACUACGAUGCACAAUUAGGGCUCAUAUAGGUAUGUUAUUUCAUGACUGCUCUAUGGGACAUCUUUGCUAAUCAUAGCCAAUAGAACCACAUUAAGGCAUGUUGCCAACCUGUCUUACAGCUCUGAGCCUUACAGGCAAUCUCGAAGCUCGACGCCAAUCUUGAUUAGCUCUAUGGGCGCAUUAACGAUGUCAAGUUGCCCAUCAACACCGACCUCGACGAGCUUCAGAAUGGUCUGGAUCAUUCCGGACAAACCGUUGAUUCGUCCAAGGGAGCGGAACGACUGGUCCCGAUGGGCACCGUGGUAACAACGAGAUUCGGGGGUCUAGGCAUAAACACUAUGUCCCACCCCUACCAGAGGUAUGCAGCCCGACCAGUUCAAUUCGCAAUCUCCACUCAGUUUAAUUGAAAACAUGCAUUGGAAUUCUACAGAUGUUUUUGGUUUGGGGCCCUAGAUUGAGUUGCCUCAUUUUGACGGCGCCAAUCUAAAACUCUGGCAAUCACGUUGUGGAAACUACUUCAAGCUCUGGAAUACGCCAUAGUCGCUUUAGAUUUCCUAUGUUUCGUUGCUAUUCGUGGGAGCUGCUGCCCGUGUCUAAAGUGUUUCACCGACGAGUUCCUCACAUUAAUUGUGAGGAAUUUUGUCGCCUACUGCAGUCCUGUUUCAGUUGCAGCCAACACCAAUAUAUUUUGAGGAAAAGUUUCAGCAUCAUCAGUCAGGAACGGUGGAUGAUUACGUUGAGUGAUUCUCUGAUAUGUAUGACAAGCUAUCAACAUAUUAUGAGAGAAAAUGCAUUAGAAUUGCUCCACAAAGUAUUAUAUUGAUUGAAAACACUAUAAAUGACAGUAGGGAAACAUGAUGCAAAAUGGACGUAUCACUCGACUUUGACCAGUUUGGCUUGGUAAUCCUAUAUGCAGUCAUGCUCUGAUACCAAAACAGCCGGGACCCCAAUCCUAAGUCACACUGAUCUAGCAAGUAACACAUCAUAUCACUUUGCAGCCUCACACACGGUAUCCCCAUGGCUGUCACCUUACCUUGGCCGGGACCGUUUGCGUCUUCUGGCUCACGCAUAUGAUUGUGUCACUAGCAUCCAUAUGACAGAGAAUCUGAGUCGACAUGACUAGUCGUAAACCAAGGUGGCACAAACUUACAAGGAGAGGCAUACGUAACCCAACAGUGCAUGUGUCGGUCAACAUCGUGUGCAACCGAGUCGUAGCAAGCUACAAGGACUUCAGUAAAACACCGCGUGACAUUUCCCCGAAGGGACAUACAUAUGAGCAAAGAAGGAUACAUGACGGUCAAUCCAUGUGUUCUGGAGCAGUAGCGAAACUCGGUGGAAGCACUAAGUGGCAUUUUCCCAUAAAGCAGGCUACCAAGAAUAAACAACUAGGUGUCAGAUCCCACACAUACCUAAGCAUUUCAAUAACAUACACACAAUAUGCUCGAUAUGUGUAGAUACAACAUGGCAUCACAACAUAAUUCUAUGACUCAAAGUAUUUCUUUAAGAGGCUGCGAGGAGCCUUACAUAGCUUGAUUUUACAAACAUGGGUCUCAUGACCCAACAUACGACGUCAUAUGAUACGUCUCCAACAUAUCAAUAAUUUUUGAUUGCUCCAUGCUAUAUUAUCUACUGUUUUGGACAUUAUUGGGAUUUAUUAUCCACUUUUAUAUUAUUUUUGGGACUAACCUAUUAACCGGAGGCCCAGCCCAGAAUUGUUGUUUUUCCCUAUUUUAGGGUUUCGAAGAAAAGGAAUAUCAAACGGAGUCCAAACGGAAUGAAACCUUCGGGAACGUAAUUUUCUCACCGAACAUGAUCCAGGAGACUUAGACCCUACGUCAAGCAACCAACAGGGAGGCCACGAGGUAGGGGGCGCGCCUACCCCCCCGCAGGCGUGCCCUCCAUCCUCGUGGGCCCCCUAUUGCUCCACCGACGUACUUCUUCCUCCUAUAUGUACCUACGUACCCCCAAACGACCACAUACGGAGCCAAAACCCUAAUUCCACCGCUGUAACUUUUUGUAUCCACGAGAUCCCAUCUUGGGGCUUGUUCCGGAGCUCCGCCGGAGGGGGCAUCGAUCACGGAGGGCUUCUACAUCAACACCAUAGCCUCUUCGAUGAAGUGUGAGUAGUUUACCUCAGACCUACGGGUCCAUAGUUAUUAGCUAGAUGGCUUCUUCUCUCUUUUUGGAUCUCAAUACAAAGUUCUCCCCCUCUCUUGUGGAGAUCUAUUCGAUGUAAUCUUCUUUUGCGGUGUAUUUGUUGAGACUG
RNAcentral lists this long non-coding RNA (7634 nucleotides) under Triticum aestivum (bread wheat). Its description in RNAcentral is "long non-coding RNA (TAES_LNC014333)". The record is from RNAcentral. Lineage: Eukaryota; Viridiplantae; Streptophyta; Magnoliopsida; Poales; Poaceae.